Long non-coding RNA from Oncorhynchus tshawytscha (Chinook salmon), 886 nucleotides. The record is from Ensembl. Lineage: Eukaryota; Metazoa; Chordata; Actinopteri; Salmoniformes; Salmonidae.
AGGGGGUACUGGUACAGAGUCAAUGUGGAGGCUAUAUACAGGGGGUACCGGUACAGAGUCAAUGUGGAGGCUAUAUACAGGGGGUACCGGUACAGAGUCAAUGUGGAGGCUAUAUACAGGGGGUACCGGUACAGAGUCAAUGUGGAGGCUAUAUACAGGGGGUACUGGUACAGAGUCAAUGUGGAGGCUAUAUACAGGAGGUACUGGUACAGAGUCAAUGUGGAGGCUAUAUACAGGGGGUACUGGUACAGAGUCAAUGUGGAGGCUAUAUACAGGGGUACUGGUACAGAGUCAAUGUGGAGGCUAUGUACAGGGGGUACUGGUACAGAGUCAGUGUGGAGGCUAUAUACAGGGGGUACUGGUACAGAGUCAAUGUGGAGGCUAUAUACAGGGGGUACUGGUACAGAGUCAAUGUGGAGGCUAUAUACAGGGGGUACCGGUACAGAGUCAAUGUGGAGGCUAUAUACAGGGGUACUGGUACAGAGUCAAUGUGGAGGCUAUAUACAGGGGGUACUGGUACAGAGUCAAUGUGGAGGCUAUAUACAGGGGGUACUGGUACAGAGUCAAUGUGGAGGCUAUAUACAGGGGGUACUGGUACAGAGUCAAUGUGGAGGCUAUAUACAGGGGGUACUGGUACAGAGUCAAUGUGGAGGCUAUAUACAGGGGGUACUGGUACAGAGUCAGCGUGGAGGCUAUAUACAGGGGUACUGGUACAGAGUCAAUGUGGAGGCUAUAUACAGGGGGUACUGGUACAGAGUCAGCGUGGAGGCUAUAUACAGGGGGUACUGGUACAGAGUCAAUGUGGAGGCUAUAUACAGGGGGUACUGGUACAGAGUCAAUGUGGAGGCUAUAUACAGGGGGUACUGGUACAGAGUCAAUGUGGAGG